GACGUUUCAAGCAGAUUUUUCCUACAGCACUCAAACGCCCCCUGCAGACACGCUCGUGACGCACCACGUAGUCGCACAGAAACCCGGAAGUGCUAACCAGGUAUGUUUUUUCUUUUUUUUUUUUUAGUUGAAGGUAUGUGUGGUAACACAGGUGGACUCGGGAAGAUGUGACGAGUUGGUUUGUCGGAGAGAAAAGAUGGAGGCCUGCUUUCUGCGUUGGUUGCUUUUCGUCGCGCUGACAUCCUGGGCGUUAGGAGACGACGGACAAGUGACUUUUGAGUCCGAGCUGUCGUCCAAACCCGCUCAGAAGUUGUCGAAGUACGGCUGGUACGCCAGCGUCAGGCUGCAGAGGUUCCACAUACCGGAGCAGACCGCCGUCGCUCGCUGGCUCUUCUCAGUGAAAAAGGGCCACAGCUUCAACUGUGGGCAGCACAACGUCAGCAUCCACCUCCGAUGGGGCGCUCCUCCCGUCAUAAACCCAACAGAGACUGUGUUUCCAAAUGCGACCCUGUGGGGCCCCUCCUUGUCCCUGAUUCUAGCGGUAACCUCCCAGAGCUCCACGACCUUUAACCUCUCCGAUCCGGCUCCGGGGGAUUGGUUCGUCGCUGCGCACUUACCGGAGGACGACGGGCGCAUAGAGCAGAAGGGUUUCCCGUCCUGCUCCUAUUACUUCCAGCCCCAGCUGUCGGUCAGGAGAGCGGCGGACACGCCCGUCCUGCAGCCGGGAACCGUCCUGACUCAGACUGCAGCCCCCGACAGACCCGCACGUCUCAAGUUGUUUGUGCCGGAGUUUACCUCGUGUCUCUCGGUUUCCGUGGCCGGGUGCUCGUCCGGCGAGGCGUUGGAGAGCGCCGGCUGCUCGCUGCUCCUCAGGCUGGGCUCGGCGUCGCUGCAGCACAGCCAGACGGAGCUGAACUGCUCUGGGGUCAGCUGCACCGCGUCCCUCUCUAACCCUCCAUGGGACUCGUGGCUGCGGGUCGUUGUGGAGAGCAGCCAAGUCAACCAAACUGUGACCUUCAGGAUUGGAUCCAACUUCACAGUGGGAUGUAAGCCAAAGAGCGUAGGCCUCACAGCGUACGAUGACAUCACAAAGCUACUUGGCAAGAGCAGCGUCUCCAACGCCACGGCGACGGGGAACGUCUCGGCGCCGGCUCCCCCGCCGCCGCUGGCGUCCCCGUGCGUGUGGAGCGUCCCUGUGCUCUACGAGGAGCUGGACGUUCUGUCGCUGCGGUACACCCCCGUCAACAGCUCCAACGUCAGCGUCACGGAAACGCACCCCACGCUGCUCACCUACCCGCUGCCCCCGCAGGCCACCGGGGGAACGCUCAACCUGCAGCUCACGCUCAAUUCUACUAAUGCGACUUUGGGGAAUAACAGCAUCGUGGCCUGUUUCUCUGCCUGGGCUCCGGUCCUCCAACUCAACCACUCUGAACCCUGCAGAACAGGUUUGUUUAUGGGAUACGCCGUCGGGAUCAACGUCAGCGUCCCUAAAGCCAUGGUCAGGCUGCCUUUCCCUCAGUCCACAACGUGGUACCUCACCCUGCAGCUCCUAUGCAACAGCAGUGACUGCGGUAACGCCUCGGUGGUGUCUGUGGUCCCGGAGGUGUCCGUCAGCGCCUGCGUGGACGACUGUGGGCCGUACGGUGAAUGUAGGCUGCUGAGAUCCUACACAUACCUGUACUCUGCCUGUGUCUGCUCUGCAGGCUGGAAAGGUUGGGGCUGCACCGACGGCUCCACCGCCCAGUCGUACGCCCGCCAGCUGACGGCAACCAUGUUGCUGACGCUCAGCAACCUGUUCUUCCUGCCCGCCAUCGUGGUCGCCACCAGACGCUCCUACAUCACCGAGGCCUUCGUCUACCUCUUCACCAUGUUCUUCUCUACGUUCUACCACGCCUGCGACCAGCCCGGCGCGGCGGUCCUGUGCAUCAUGGACUACGACGCCCUGCAGUACUGCGACUUCCUUGGCUCCAUCUGCUCCAUCUGGGUCACCAUCCUCUGCAUGGCUCGCCUGGGAGACACAGCCAAAUACACUCUGUUUCUGCUCGGGGCCUUGCUGAUAGCCAUGUCAAUGCAGCUGGACCGCAAGGGCCUGUGGAACCUGCUGGGCCCCAUCCUGUGUGCCAUACUUCUCAUGGUCACUUCCUGGGUGUACAGAUGCGUCCGCCGGCGACACUGCUAUCCGCCCUCCUGGCGCCGCUGGGUCUUCUUCCUUCUGCCUGGAGCGCUGUGCGCCCUCAUCGGAGUGUGUCUGUACGUCUUCGCCGAGACGGAGAGCAACUACUACUACACGCACUCGCUGUGGCACAUCCUGGUGGCCGGCUGCGUGGUGUUCCUGCUGCCGCCCAAGGAGAAGGACCGGAAGGCGCUGGGCUGGAGCCGGGGCUUCAGCUGGAGCUGGAGGUGGAGCUGGAGGCCGCGGGUUUGUGGAUACACGCUCUGCGAGAGCAGCAAAGACGAACUGUACACGGUCACAUAGCAGAGGACGAGGCAGAGCGGGGCCGGCGUUUAUUCAGUCUGACUCUUUACCUGGACGAGGCGUUUUCCUGUCUAAAGCUGUAUAUUCACAUAAGUCCACAUAUAUUUCAUAUUCACAUGUGCUCCAAGUGGAAGAGGGGUCUUAGAUUUAGAUUUAGAUAGAACAUAUAUGCUCUUUGUAACCCACAUCCAGUCUGCUGGAAUCUCUAGAGAGAUGCACCAAUUAGAUUUUUAUAGCCGAUUUCUGGCCUGUCAUACAGAUUUAAUGUGAUUCCAAUUCUUCUUGAAGGACUUUACUGAAAAAAUGUCAAUCAUACAUAUACAUAUAUAUAUUUUUUACAGAUUUCCACUCGCAGGCGGUAUCAAGUUUAUAUAGGGAGCAGAUGAGACGUCACACUGUGUGUGUUUGUGUAAUACAGGAAUUGAUAUAAAACAGUGUUUAUUAUUAGUUAAGAACAAAGACAAAAUGAUUUGAGUUGAAAUUUUAAACCAUAUUUAAUAUCUUCCACCAGCACAGUCAGUCUGCUCAGAUUUAGUAACUGUAAACAGUCUCUGGGUGCAUUUUGUAACAGAACCCAAAGAUUUCCAAAACGCUGCCAAUAUUUUCAGCUCCAAUCUGUUCAAACAUGGCAGAGCAUGCCUUGCUAAUUCUAAACAAAAAAAAAAACAGUACAUGGUCACGAAUUGAGAUUCUGUAAGAGAAAGCUACUUUUCUUUUUUUGAUAAAGUCGGGUUACAAAAUGUACAAAAAUGCAAAUAAGUGAAAUGAUCAGCUCUCGCUGGCUGUAAUCGGCCACUGGAUAGAAAUCAUGUCUGCAGCGUAUCAGUCCGACUAACCUGCUAAGAUGUUCAGCUUACAUCGUUCCUGACAAACAAACCAAUGAAUGAAUAGCUCUCUGUUAUGGCAGGCUGAAUUAACAGUCAGCAUGCCUCAGUAGAAAAUGUGGUUCUUGUGCUUCCGUACUGAUGUUUAAUGCAAUGGCAAACUUUGACUCAUCUCCCUUCAGUAACAACUUCUCACUAAAAAGUGCUGAUUCAGCACAACCUGUUAGCAUUUAGGUGUAUUCACUGGCAAAAAAAUAUAUAUAUUUUUUUGUUUUUGCCCAUGUAUUGCUUAUCGUUGGUCAGAACUGAACUAGUAGGAGAUGAUUCAAUUUCAGUCAGCAGCUUAUUUAAAAGAUCCAAUGUCUCUGUUGUUUCUUCUUAGAUGUGGCCGCCGGUACCCUGAGGUAGCAGACCAGUACAGCUGGAUUAAUGCCUAAACAGGGUUGUUGAAUUUGAAGUCUGGGUUCAAUUGGAAGAGUUUAAAACCCCAGAUGAAAUUUGAACAAUAAUUUACUGCCAGACAGGUACUAUAAUGCUAUCGAAUUUGUACUGUAUUCUAUCGCAUUCAUUGAAAAAUGACGUAUCCGAUUACACCUCACAAAUCCACCUAACUGCAGGAAACUGCUGCUGCUCAUCACAAUCACUUAUUGUCUCCACACAGCGUCAGAAUUCUGACAAUCACAUCUCAGUCUCAUGGCUGCAGAUCAGAACAACCUGGACGAGGAAAGCACAGAAGAAAAUGUACGAAGAAACCAGAUUUACUGAAUCUGUUAUUUGGGUAAGGUGGAAUCUUUGUGAACCUUCCAGAAAAGGCAAUAUAUGCGGUAAAUGCAGUGUCCUUUUCUGCUAUUGUAGACUUAAGGUAACAGAGAGCUCUUAUCUGAACUCGUGUAUCUUCAGUAGAAUAACUCAUGAAUUUUGAAAAAAGAUUCUGGAGGCAGCCAUGACACGUUGCUACAACAUUGUAUGUGCCCCAGAUUUCUUUUAAAGCCGCAAGCCAGACUUUUCAACGACUUCCAUUCGAUCACCAUUCACAUUUUAAUUGUAGUAUGUCAUCCAUACAAAACCCGUCGAGGUCAAAUGUUCUCUUUAUGCCUUUUUACUGUAAACUGUUUUUUUGUGAAGAAGAAAAUGCCUGCCCUUGUAGAAGCACAUCACAAAACACAUUCAAUCAGGGUUUUUUUCCUUUCCUUAAAAAAAACAAAAAAAACUUGUUUUUAAUCCAGUUGGAGUCCAACUCAGCUGUGUGCCUGUAGCUAUGCAUCAAGCUAGAUAGCUAGCUAGAUGCAAAGCUUGCUCGCUAGCUAACUAGAUUUAGCUCCUUUUUACUAACUAAAUCUUUUGAGCUAGUAAAAAGAUUUAGCAUAGCUAAAUCUUCUUAGCUAGUAAAAACAGCUACUUUUUACUAACUAAAUCUUUUUAGCUGGUAAAAAGAUUUGGUUUUUUUACUAGCAAAGUCUUCUAGCUUGCUAAAUCAGACUAGCGAGCUAAAUCAUAUGGAAUUCUGUUUUUUAUUACCCAGCUUUGUUUUUAUUGUCGUGUGUCUCGGUGGAACAUGACCUGGUAGGAAUAUUCUGCUUUGAACGAAGCCUCUUUGUGGAGGUAAAAUGAAGAAAAUGUUUUCUGUUCAUCCGCAGCCUAAGAAAUUACAACUCUUUAAGUUAAUAAGAUUUUUCUUUUCCACAGUUUUGGUGUGACAUAAAUCACUCAUAUGUAUAAAUCAGCACUCAAGUGAAUGUAUGCUAAGAUUACUGGCCAGUGCCUCUUCCUUUUUGUCUUUUUUUUUUUUUAUUGCACUUUAUGUACGGUAUAGGUUAUAGGAGCUCUGUGGGGAGAGGGGGCGGGGCUUAGUCUCUUGUACCAGUAAAGCUACUGAUAUCUUGCUAUAUUUAAUCCAAAACUCGAAUCGUCUCAUGUGUUACUUUGAUCUAGUUUUCUCUUAAAAGCUUCCAUUUCUCUCUGUUGUGACUUUGCACACAUUUUCCCCUGAUUGUUCAAGACCUGCACAGCCUUCCUUUUAUUGCUUAGAUUGUUUCUUCAUAAAAUGUAAGUUUGUCACUAAGACAUUGGAAUAUGAGGGG
Molecule: RNA transcript, 5381 nt
Organism: Poecilia latipinna (sailfin molly)
Lineage: Eukaryota; Metazoa; Chordata; Actinopteri; Cyprinodontiformes; Poeciliidae
Gene: pgap6
Gene name: post-glycosylphosphatidylinositol attachment to proteins 6
Exons: 14
Source: RefSeq, a predicted model, not a curated record